Molecule: ribosomal RNA, 510 nt
Filed under: uncultured bacterium
Lineage: Bacteria
Description: partial 16S ribosomal RNA
Rfam family: Bacterial small subunit ribosomal RNA
Source: RNAcentral
GACGAACGCUGGCGGCGUGCUUAACACAUGCAAGUCGAACGAAGAGCGAUGGAAGCUUGCUUCUAUCAAUCUUAGUGGCGAACGGGUGAGUAACGCGUAAUCAACCUGCCCUUCAGAGGGGGACAACAGUUGGAAACGACUGCUAAUACCGCAUACGAUCUAAUCUCGGCAUCGAGGAUAGAUGAAAGGUGGCCUCUACAUGUAAGCUAUCACUGAAGGAGGGGAUUGCGUCUGAUUAGCUAGUUGGUGGGGUAACGGCCCACCAAGGCGAUGAUCAGUAGCCGGUCUGAGAGGAUGAACGGCCACAUUGGGACUGAGACACGGCCCAGAAUCCUACGGGAGGCAGCAGUGGGGAAUCUUCCGCAAUGGACGAAAGUCUGACGGAGCAACGCCGCGUGAGUGAUGACGGCCUUCGGGUUGUAAAGCUCUGUUAAUCGGGACGAAAGGCCUUCUUGCGAAUAGUGAGAAGGAUUGACGGUACCGGAAUAGAAAGCCACGGCUAACUACGUG